AGUGGCGAACGGGUGAGUAAUAUAUCGGAACGUGCCCAGUCGUGGGGGAUAACGUAGAGAAAUUUACGCUAAUACCGCAUACGAUCUAAGGAUGAAAGCGGGGGAUCGCAAGACCUCGCGCGAUUGGAGCGGCUGAUAUCAGAUUAGGUUGUUGGUGAGGUAAAAGCUCACCAAGCCGACGAUCUGUAGCUGGUUUGAGAGAACGACCAGCCACACUGGGACUGAGACACGGCCCAGACUCCUACGGGAGGCAGCAGUGGGGAAUUUUGGACAAUGGGCGAAAGCCUGAUCCAGCAAUGCCGCGUGUGGGAAGAAGGCCUUCGGGUUGUAAACCACUUUUGUACGGAACGAAACGCCUCGCCUUAAUACGGUGGGGUAAUGACGGUACCGUAAGAAUAAGCACCGGCUAACUACGUGCCAGCAGCCGCGGUAAUACGUAGGGUGCGAGCGUUAAUCGGAAUUACUGGGCGUAAAGCGUGCGCAGGCGGUUAUAUAAGACAGUUGUGAAAUCCCCGGGCUCAACCUGGGAAUUGCAUCUGUGACUGUAUAGCUAGAGUACGGUAGAGGGGGAUGGAAUUCCGCGUGUAGCAGUGAAAUGCGUAGAUAUGCGGGAGGACACCGAUGGCGAAGGCAAUCCCCUGGAACUGUACUGACGCUCAUGCACGAAAGCGUGGGGAGCAAACAGGAUUAGAUACCCUGAUUGUCCACGCC
RNAcentral lists this ribosomal RNA (711 nucleotides) under uncultured bacterium. RNAcentral describes it as "bacterial SSU rRNA". It matches the Rfam family "Bacterial small subunit ribosomal RNA", at positions 94 to 801 of the family's 1533-position model. The record is from RNAcentral.